This 445-nucleotide ribosomal RNA is filed under the name uncultured bacterium. RNAcentral's name for it is "partial 16S ribosomal RNA". It matches the Rfam family "Bacterial small subunit ribosomal RNA", at positions 354 to 796 of the family's 1533-position model. The record is from RNAcentral.
GUGAGGAAUAUUGGACAAUGGGCGCAAGCCUGAUCCAGCCAUGCCGCGUGCAGGAAGACGCAUCUAUGGUGUGUAAACUGCUUUUGUACGGGAAGAAACACUCCCUCGUGAGGGAGCUUGACGGUACCGUAAGAAUAAGGAUCGGCUAACUCCGUGCCAGCAGCCGCGGUAAUACGGAGGAUCCAAGCGUUAUCAGGAAUCAUUGGGUUUAAAGGGUCCGUAGGCGGUUUAAUAAGUCAGUGGUGAAAGCCCAUCGCUCAACGAUGGAACGGCCAUUGAUACUGUUAGACUUGAAUUACAAGGAAGUAACUAGAAUAUGUAGUGUAGCGGUGAAAUGCUUAGAUAUUACAUGGAAUACCAAUUGCGAAGGCAGGUUACUACUUGUGGAUUGACGCUGAUGGACGAAAGCGUGGGGAGCGAACAGGAUUAGAAACCCCGGUAGUCC